CCAAUAGCGUAUAUUAAAGUUGUUGCAGUUAAAAGGCUCGUAGUUGAAUUUCGGGGUUCUACCGUUGGUCGGGCAAUAGUCUGUACUGGCGUGUAGAAUUUCUACCUUCUGGGGAACCAUCAUGUUAUUUAUUUAGCGUGGUGGGAAACCAGGACCUUUACCUUGAAAAAAUUAGAGUGUUCAAAGCAGGCUUACGUCUGAAUACAUUAGCAUGGAAUAAUAAAAUAGGACGGUGGUCCUGUUUUGUUGGUUUCUGAAUCACCGUAAUGAUUAAUAGGGAUAGUUGGGGGCAUUAGUAUUCAAUUGUCAGAGGUGAAAUUCUUGGAUUUAUUGAAGACUAACUUCUGCGAAAGCAUUUGCCAAGGAUGUUUUCAUUAAUCAAGAACGAAAGUUAGGGGAUCGAAGACGAUCAGAUACCGUCGUAGUCUUAACCAUAAACUAUGCCGACUAGGGAUCGGACGAUGUUAAUUUUUCUUGACUCGUUCGGCGCCUUACG
This 496-nucleotide ribosomal RNA is filed under the name uncultured Glomeromycotina. Its description in RNAcentral is "partial small subunit ribosomal RNA". It matches the Rfam family "Eukaryotic small subunit ribosomal RNA", at positions 591 to 1092 of the family's 1831-position model. Lineage: Eukaryota; Fungi; Glomeromycota. The record is from RNAcentral.